GAUGAACGCUGGCGGCGUGCCUAAUACAUGCAAGUCGAGCGAACAGACGAGGAGCUUGCUCCUCUGACGUUAGCGGCGGACGGGUGAAUAACACGUGGAUAACCUACCUAUAAGACUGGGAUAACUUCGGGAAACCGGAGCUAAUACCGGAUAAUAUAUUGAACCGCAUGGUUCAAUAGUGAAAGACGGUUUUGCUGUCACUUAUAGAUGGAUCCGCGCCGCAUUAGCUAGUUGGUAAGGUAACGGCUUACCAAGGCAACGAUGCGUAGCCGACCUGAGAGGGUGAUCGGCCACACUGGAACUGAGACACGGUCCAGACUCCUACGGGAGGCAGCAGUAGGGAAUCUUCCGCAAUGGGCGAAAGCUUGACGGAGCAACGCCGCGUGAGUGAUGAAGGUCUUCGGAUCGUAAAACUCUGUUAUUAGGGAAGAACAAAUGUGUAAGUAACUAUGCACGUCUUUACGGUACCUAAUCAGAAAGCCACGGCUAACUACGUG
Molecule: ribosomal RNA, 497 nt
Filed under: uncultured bacterium
Lineage: Bacteria
Description: partial 16S ribosomal RNA
Rfam family: Bacterial small subunit ribosomal RNA
Source: RNAcentral